RNAcentral lists this long non-coding RNA (447 nucleotides) under Setaria viridis. RNAcentral describes it as "long non-coding RNA (SVIR_LNC003123)". Lineage: Eukaryota; Viridiplantae; Streptophyta; Magnoliopsida; Poales; Poaceae. The record is from RNAcentral.
AGAGGUAAAAGUCAAAAAUCUCAUCCAAGUGAUCAAAAGCCAAGUAAAGGCAAGGAUUAAAGUCACUAGGCAUGAGAAACAUCACAAAUGCCAAACCAACUUGGAAAAGGUGACACAACCAAGACAAAGAACACAUGAUCCCUCAAGAAGAGGCAGAAAGGGCUCAACACGAAUCAUGUGACGAUCGAAGAUCAAAUUUAAACACUGGCUCCUCAAGAAGAGGUAAAAAGCUCAAUGCGACCGACAAAGUAUCACAAGAGCAUACACAAGCUCAAAUCAAAACACCGACUCCUCAAGAAGAGGUAAACAGCUCAACACGACCGGCAAACGAGCACAAGAGCAAAGAACUCACACAGACUCGACUUCCCCUGAAAUCAAGACUCCCCCUGAACAAAUGCACUCCCCCUGAAAAUGUACUCCCCCUGAAAUCAAGGCAUGCAAAUUUCU